GAAGAUGUUUUGGCGGAUUUGAGAGAAUUUUCAGCUCUGAUNCCGGCGAUGUCCGAAUGGGGAAACCCAGUGCAAUUCGUUGCACUAUCGUUAACUGAAUACAUAGGUUAACGAGGCGAACCGGGGGAACUGAAACAUCUAAGUACCCCGAGGAAAAGAAAUCAACCGAGAUUCCCCCAGUAGCGGCGAGCGAACGGGGAGCAGCCCAGAGUCUGAAUCAGCUUGUGUGUUAGUGGAACGGUCUGGAAAGUCCGACGGUACAGGGUGAUAGUCCCGUACACCAAAAUGCACAGGUUGUGAACUCGAAGAGUAGGGCGGGACACGUGGUAUCCUGUCUGAAUAUGGGGGGACCAUCCUCCAAGGCUAAAUACUCCUGACUGACCGAUAGUGAACCAGUACCGUGAGGGAAAGGCGAAAAGAACCCCGGCGAGGGGAGUGAAAAAGAACCUGAAACCGUGUACGUACAAGCAGUGGGAGCACCUUCGGGUGUGACUGCGUACCUUUUGUAUAAUGGGUCAGCGACUUAUAUUCUGUAGCAAGGUUAACCGUAUAGGGGAGCCGCAGGGAAACCGAGUCUUAACUGGGCGUUAAGUUGCAGGGUAUAGACCCGAAACCCGGUGAUCUAGCCAUGGGCAGGUUGAAGGUUGGGUAACACUAACUGGAGGACCGAACCGACUAAUGUUGAAAAAUUAGCGGAUGACUUGUGGCUGGGGGUGAAAGGCCAAUCAAACCGGGAGAUAGCUGGUUCUCCCCGAAAGCUAUUUAGGUAGCGCCUCGUGAACUCAUCUUCGGGGGUAGAGCACUGUUUCGGCUAGGGGGUCAUCCCGACUUACCAACCCGAUGCAAACUACGAAUACCGAAGAAUGUUAUCACGGGAGACACACGGCGGGUGCUAACGUCCGUCGUGAAGAGGGAAACAACCCAGACCGCCAGCUAAGGUCCCAAAGUCAUGGUUAAGUGGGAAACGAUGUGGGAAGGCACAGACAGCCAGGAUGUUGGCUUAGAAGCAGCCAUCAUUUAAAGAAAGCGUAAUAGCUCACUGGUCGAGUCGGCCUGCGCGGAAGAUGUAACGGGGCUAAACCAUGCACCGAAGCUGCGGCAGCGACACUAUGUGUUGUUGGGUAGGGGAGCGUUCUGUAAGCCUGCGAAGGUGUGCUGUGAGGCAUGCUGGAGGUAUCAGAAGUGCGAAUGCUGACAUAAGUAACGAUAAAGCGGGUGAAAAGCCCGCUCGCCGGAAGACCAAGGGUUCCUGUCCAACGUUAAUCGGGGCAGGGUGAGUCGACCCCUAAGGCGAGGCCGAAAGGCGUAGUCGAUGGGAAACAGGUUAAUAUUCCUGUACUUGGUGUUACUGCGAAGGGGGGACGGAGAAGGCUAUGUUAGCCGGGCGACGGUUGUCCCGGUUUAAGCAUGUAGGCUGAUUGUCCAGGCAAAUCCGGAUAAUCAAGGCUGAGGUGUGAUGACGAGGCACUACGGUGCUGAAGUAACAAAUGCCCUGCUUCCAGGAAAAGCCUCUAAGCAUCAGGUAACAUUAAAUCGUACCCCAAACCGACACAGGUGGUCAGGUAGAGAAUACCAAGGCGCUUGAGAGAACUCGGGUGAAGGAACUAGGCAAAAUGGUGCCGUAACUUCGGGAGAAGGCACGCUGGUGUGUAGGUGAAGUCCCUGCGGAUGGAGCUGAGACCAGUCGAAGAUACCAGCUGGCUGCAACUGUUUAUUAAAAACACAGCACUGUGCAAACACGAAAGUGGACGUAUACGGUGUGACGCCUGCCCGGUGCCGGAAGGUUAAUUGAUGGGGUUAUCCGUAAGGAGAAGCUCUUGAUCGAAGCCCCGGUAAACGGCGGCCGUAACUAUAACGGUCCUAAGGUAGCGAAAUUCCUUGUCGGGUAAGUUCCGACCUGCACGAAUGGCGUAAUGAUGGCCAGGCUGUCUCCACCCGAGACUCAGUGAAAUUGAACUCGCUGUGAAGAUGCAGUGUACCCGCGGCAAGACGGAAAGACCCCGUGAACCUUUACUAUAGCUUGACACUGAACAUUGAGCCUUGAUGUGUAGGAUAGGUGGGAGGCUUUGAAGCGUGGACGCCAGUCUGCGUGGAGCCAACCUUGAAAUACCACCCUUUAAUGUUUGAUGUUCUAACGUUGGCCCCUUACCGGGGUUGCGGACAGUGUCUGGUGGGUAGUUUGACUGGGGCGGUCUCCUCCCAAAGCGUAACGGAGGAGCACGAAGGUUAGCUAAUCCUGGUCGGACAUCAGGAGGUUAGUGCAAUGGCAUAAGCUAGCUUGACUGCGAGCGUGACGGCGCGAGCAGGUGCGAAAGCAGGUCAUAGUGAUCCGGUGGUUCUGAAUGGAAGGGCCAUCGCUCAACGGAUAAAAGGUACUCCGGGGAUAACAGGCUGAUACCGCCCAAGAGUUCAUAUCGACGGCGGUGUUUGGCACCUCGAUGUCGGCUCAUCACAUCCUGGGGCUGAAGUAGGUCCCAAGGGUAUGGCUGUUCGCCAUUUAAAGUGGUACGCGAGCUGGGUUUAGAACGUCGUGAGACAGUUCGGUCCCUAUCUGCCGUGGGCGCUGGAGAAUUGAGGGGGGCUGCUCCUAGUACGAGAGGACCGGAGUGGACGCAUCACUGGUGUUCGGGUUGUCAUGCCAAUGGCACUGCCCGGUAGCUAAAUGCGGAAGAGAUAAGUGCUGAAAGCAUCUAAGCACGAAACUUGCCCCGAGAUGAGUUCUCCCUGAGACUUUAAGUCUCCUGAAGGAACGUUAAAGACGAUGACGUUGAUAGGCCGGGUGUGUAAGCGCAGCGAUGCGUUGAGCUAACCGGUACUAAUGAACCGUGAGGCUUAACCUU
RNAcentral lists this ribosomal RNA (2840 nucleotides) under Klebsiella pneumoniae. RNAcentral describes it as "bacterial LSU rRNA". It matches the Rfam family "Bacterial large subunit ribosomal RNA". The record is from RNAcentral. Lineage: Bacteria; Pseudomonadati; Pseudomonadota; Gammaproteobacteria; Enterobacterales; Enterobacteriaceae.